GUAGGUGAACCUGCGGAAGGAUCAUUACAGAGUUCAUGCCCUUCGGGGUAGACCUCCCACCCUUGAAUAUAUACCUUUGUUGCUUUGGCGGGCCGCUUCGGCUACUGGCUUCGGCUGGUGAGUGCCCGCCAGAGAACCCAAAAUUCUGAAUUAUAGUGUCGUCUGAGUACUAUAUAAUAGUUAAAACUUUCAACAACGGAUCUCUUGGUUCUGGCAUCGAUGAAGAACGCAGCAUCUGACUGACUCGGAA
This 250-nucleotide unclassified non-coding RNA is filed under the name plant metagenome. Its description in RNAcentral is "partial contains small subunit ribosomal RNA, internal transcribed spacer 1, and 5.8S ribosomal RNA". The record is from RNAcentral.